This 524-nucleotide ribosomal RNA is filed under the name uncultured bacterium. Its description in RNAcentral is "bacterial SSU rRNA". It matches the Rfam family "Bacterial small subunit ribosomal RNA", at positions 355 to 896 of the family's 1533-position model. The record is from RNAcentral.
UUGGGAAUAUUGGACAAUGGGGGAAACCCUGAUCCAGCAAUGCCGCGUGGGUGAUGAAGGCCUUCGGGUUGUAAAGCCCUUUUGGCGGGGACGAUGAUGACGGUACCCGCAGAAUAAGCCCCGGCUAACUUCGUGCCAGCAGCCGCGGUAAUACGAAGGGGGCUAGCGUUGUUCGGAAUUACUGGGCGUAAAGGGCGCGUAGGCGGCCGUGCAAGUCAGAUGUGAAAGCCCUGGGCUCAACCCAGGAGGUGCAUUUGAUACUGCAUGGCUAGAGUGUCGGAGAGGAUGGUGGAAUUCCCAGUGUAGAGGUGAAAUUCGUAGAUAUUGGGAAGAACACCGGUGGCGAAGGCGACCAUCUGGACGACAACUGACGCUGAGGCGCGAAAGCGUGGGGAGCAAACAGGAUUAGAUACCCUGGUAGUCCACGCCGUAAACUAUGCGUGUUGGACGUUUGCGAGCCUAGCUCGUCGGUGUCGCAGCUAACGCGUUAAACACGCCGCCUGGGGAGUACGGCCGCAAGGUUA